CCUUGUUCCAAGAUUAUGGGUAUUAGUUGUUUACACUUAUCUUGAGUUAGCUUUGAUGUUUAAUUAAAUCUAUUGCCACUUCAGUUAUAAAACCAGCCAAAAGUUUCCAGAUAAAGGUCAAGUUUGACCCUUUCAGAGUUACUGUACAUAAAGGCUUCAUCCAAAAACCAUCCAGUGUACGUGAGCAAAUACAAGAAAUGACACACAAGCACAACUCUUCCGAUGUGGCAGUCCUUUUUCUUUAUAGGUGUGCAAAAGUUUCACUGAAAGCUGCUAUUUUCAUCCUCCUUGUGAUUGUUUUUCUUGUUUCUCCAUUGUACAUGUGGGUUAUAGACCAUAUGUUAAAUAUGCAAUAACGUGUUUACUGGAUGCCCUUCUGAAGGGUAGUCCUUUGUAAAGCUGUACAGACUUUGCAGUUUAAGCACAAUGUGCACAUGUUAGUUUUAUACACAGCAAAACUUGAUUUUUUGCAGAUGGAAAGGUAUUUUGUUUCUAUACAAAGUAAAUGGAUUGUUUGUGCUUAACGUAAAGCUGCUUUAUAUAAUUGUAAAAUAAAGUUUUUAUCUUAAAAGGACUAU
Molecule: long non-coding RNA, 578 nt
Filed under: Bos taurus (domestic cattle)
Lineage: Eukaryota; Metazoa; Chordata; Mammalia; Artiodactyla; Bovidae
Description: long non-coding RNA NONBTAT001892
Source: RNAcentral